This 333-nucleotide long non-coding RNA is filed under the name Olea europaea (common olive). RNAcentral's name for it is "long non-coding RNA (OEUR_LNC004072)". Lineage: Eukaryota; Viridiplantae; Streptophyta; Magnoliopsida; Lamiales; Oleaceae. The record is from RNAcentral.
AAUGCCAUCAGUUUGCUGCAGCCAGAAGUUUUAACAAGCUUUUGAAUCUCUUUCUAGUUAAGAUGAAAAUGCAUGUCUGCAAGGUUGAGAAUAAUUUAAAUUUCCGUUGUUUCCCCUUAUCCUAAUCUUAUGUGUUUCAGUUUUUCAUGUUUGAAUUUCCCAUUUGUAAUUCAUGUAUUGGCUUCAAAAUUAUUGAUAAUAAUGUCAAUUUGUUGUUAUUUCAAUUACGCUACUACAUGAACAUCAAGGUUGACAUAAAGUUUGACAUAAUGCCAAGUGGUACUUUAUUAUUGGUUAAUUUAAAAUACAGUCAACUUUUCCAUCAAAUCAUUU